UUGUGUAAAAUGAAAAUAAUGUAGCAAAAUGUUUUUAUUUCCCAUGAAGGAAGGAUUUCAUAUGUGAGAUGUAUUGUGUAGAACUGGUCAAUUUCACGUAGAAAUUUAGGGCUGGACUGGUUUAUACGUAGUAGAUGUGGUUGCGACUGUUGUAGUUUGUACAGAUGAGCGGUUGUUGUUUCAAGCAUUAUGAAGCAGAUGCGUUUAAUUUAGCGGUUGAGAAUUGAUACGUUUUGCGGAAGUUUUAUGACUAGUUAACAAUUAGGUACAACAACAGUUAAAUCGAAAAUGAUCAAAAAAAUAUA
RNAcentral lists this small RNA (305 nucleotides) under Arabidopsis thaliana (thale cress). RNAcentral's name for it is "ATSL113860". Lineage: Eukaryota; Viridiplantae; Streptophyta; Magnoliopsida; Brassicales; Brassicaceae. The record is from RNAcentral.